Molecule: ribosomal RNA, 375 nt
Filed under: uncultured bacterium
Lineage: Bacteria
Description: bacterial SSU rRNA
Rfam family: Bacterial small subunit ribosomal RNA
Source: RNAcentral
AGAGAAUAGAUACCCAGGUAGUCCACGCCGUAAACUAUGGAUGCUAGCUGUUAUGAGUAUCGACCCUCGUAGUAGCGUAGCUAACGCGUUAAGCAUCCCGCCUGUGGAGUACGGUCGCAAGACUAAAACAUAAAGGAAUUGACGGGGACCCGCACAAGCGGUGGAGCGUGUUGUUUAAUUCGAUGGUAAGCGAAGAACCUUACCCAGGCUUGACAUCCUGCCAAGGUCUCCGAAAGGAGAUUGUGCCUUCGGGCCGCAGUGACAGGUGAUGCAUGGCCGUCGUCAGCUCGUGUCGUGAGAUGUUUGGUUAAGUCCAUCAACGAGCGCAACCCUUAUAGUUAGUUGUAUUUCUCUAGCUAGACUGCCCUGGUAACA